Camellia sinensis is the source of this 893-nucleotide non-coding RNA. The record is from RefSeq and is a predicted model, not a curated record. Lineage: Eukaryota; Viridiplantae; Streptophyta; Magnoliopsida; Ericales; Theaceae.
AUCAAUAUUUAUUUUAAAACCCAAUAAAUAGGAUCAUGGAAAAAAAAUAUGCGUAUCGGUAAAUUUUUUUCAAGUUGUGCGAAAAAUAAAAAAUUCAAGGUUCCGGUUACCACAACAGUUACACUACGACCUUUACACCCUGCAACCGCAACCGCGCCACCGCCACCGCCACCGUUACGGCAACCGCAACUGCUUUUCAAAACAUUAGCCUGAACAAUUGAACAAGAUAUUUGAGCUGUGCGGAUCUCCAGAUGAGAUUAUUUGGCCUGGGGUUUCCAAGAUUCCCUAGUAUAACAAGUUCAAGCCAACAAGGCCGAUGACGAGGCGAGUGAGGGAGGUUUUUAGACAUUUUGACCGUCAUGCACUGGAUUUACUAGAGAAAAUGCUAACCCUUGAUCCAUCUCAGAGAAUAUCUGCAAAGGAUGCCCUUGAUGCUGAAUAUUUUUGGAUUGACCCCUUACCUUGCGAUCCUAGAAGUUUGCCUAAAUAUGAAUCAUCGCACGAGUUCCAGACAAAGAAAAAAAGGCAACAGUAGCGACAAAACGAAGAGAUGGCAAAGAGACAGAAAUUGCAGCACCCACAACAACAUGCUCGUCUGAUUGCUUGCUUUUGCUUAAUGAUAAAGAAGGGAAUGCUUGAUUUGUAGUUUUCGAGUUUGUGGAUUAUGCUUUGAAUUCUUGUCCAGCUGCGUGGCUCGGGAGCACAAGUUUUCUGAUGAGAGCAACAUCUUGUGAAUGUAAGUGGUUCAGAUUUGGACACUAAGGAUGUUGCAACCACUGUUUUCUUAGGUAGCUAUCAUUUUAAUCUUUUGAUAAAUGGCUUUACAGUGUAGGCCAAUCUGCAGAAGUUCACCUAGAUUUGGGAUAAGGUUAAUUGAGAUCUGGGGUGGAAUA